RNAcentral lists this ribosomal RNA (254 nucleotides) under uncultured bacterium. Its description in RNAcentral is "partial 16S ribosomal RNA". It matches the Rfam family "Bacterial small subunit ribosomal RNA", at positions 524 to 776 of the family's 1533-position model. The record is from RNAcentral.
UACGUAGGGCGCAAGCGUUGUCCGGAAUUAUUGGGCGUAAAGAGCUCGUAGGCGGUCUGUCGCGUCUGUUGUGAAAACUCGAGGCUCAACCUCGGGCUUGCAGUUGGAUACGGGCAGACUAGAGUGCGGUAGGGGAGACUGGAAUUCCUGGUGUAGCGGUGGAAUGCGCAGAUAUCAGGAGGAACACCGAUGGCGAAGGCAGGUCUCUGGGCCGCAACUGACGCUGAGGAGCGAAAGCGUGGGGAGCGAACAGG